GAUGAAGAACGUAGCGAAAUGCGAUACUUGGUGUGAAUUGCAGAAUCCCGUGAACCAUCGAGUCUUUGAACGCAAGUUGCGCCCGAAGCCAUUAGGCCGAGGGCACGCCUGCCUGGGCGUCACACGUCGUUGCCCCCCCCAUCUACUCCUUCGGGAUUGCGGGGGGCGGAUAAUGGCCUCCCGUGCGCCUCGCCGCGCGGUUGGCAUAAAUGCCAAGUCCUCGGCGAUGCACGCCACGACAAUCGGUGGUUGCGAAACCUCGGUUGCCCGUCGUGUGCGGUCGUCGCGCAUCGAGGGCUCGAAAAAAUUGCCGGGUUCCGGCUCGGCUUUCAACGCGACCCCAGGUCAGGCGGGGUUACCCGCUGAAUUUAAGCAUAUCAAUAAGCGGAGGA
Molecule: unclassified non-coding RNA, 392 nt
Filed under: soil metagenome
Description: partial contains 5.8S ribosomal RNA, internal transcribed spacer 2, and large subunit ribosomal RNA
Rfam family: 5.8S ribosomal RNA (bases 1-122)
Source: RNAcentral